AACACUCUAAAUACUCUGUAUAUACUUGAUAUACAAUUUGUAUACAAGUAAUAUACACUCUAUAUAUACUUGAUAUACACUAGGUAUGCAUUGCGUAUACACUGGAAAAACGAAUUGCAAUAUGAUAUUCUCUUCAGUAAGAAUUCAACAUUGGCUAUACUUUGCAUUCCUUUCUCUUAGAAUUUCCAUUCGACUUCUGAGUUGUCCUCCUUAUUCUGCCUUAUUUUUAACUACAAACAAAGUAUCCAUAAGUGUGAUUUGCUGC
This 265-nucleotide long non-coding RNA is filed under the name Nicotiana benthamiana. Its description in RNAcentral is "long non-coding RNA (NBEN_LNC015138)". Lineage: Eukaryota; Viridiplantae; Streptophyta; Magnoliopsida; Solanales; Solanaceae. The record is from RNAcentral.